GUUUUAUGGGAAAUUUCUAAUAGUGUUUUCUUUAACGUGGUUUGCAAAUAAUAAUAGGAAAUAUACAUUAAACUUUGGGCCAAAGAGCUUUAAUGGAGAUGCUGGGGGCUAGCAAAUGCAGGGGGAAGAUAAGGGUGAAGAGCUGUGAACCUUUACAGCUGAACCCAAUAACAGAACAGCUGUAUUUAUUUAUUUAUUUGUUUGUUCAUUUAUUCAACAAAGAGUAAGGGAACAGGUAUAUUGCAGAGGUUGCUGGGGAGUAUUUUUCUUUCUUUUUUUCCCAGUAGUUUAGAUAUAAUAUAAAGAUGAAGUUUGAGUCAGGAGCUAUUUCUGAAAUAAUAAUAGUAGUCUUCUGGAAAACACAUCUCCUUCUGUGCUGAGCUUUUCCUUCAGACUAAGGAGCUUAACUGCGGGAGGGGGAAGAAGCUUUCAAAAGCAGGACUUACAUGGCAUCAAAAUUUGUCACUGCUAUUCAAGAAUGGUUCUGGACGUUUUGUAAAGGACCUCAAGCCAAGGCACCACGUGAGUCUCUAUCAGAGAUAGAGAGCUCGGUAAUUCGUGAAGACGAUGACUGUGCAUCAAAAGUAAUAGAGGUUCUUACUGCAAGCAUGUCAUCUUGUACCAGGUCUGAGACACCUUAUUAUUCCCAGCCUGUAGCAAGAAGGAAAACUGCUUUUUCCCCAUUUCAGGUUAGAACAUUCCUGCAAUUUCAUUAUCCUGGAGGCUGGACUGGGAUCAGGUCAUCAGUGAUGUGCGGGACUGAGAGCUUUUCUAAGAUGCAUUUUAAUUAACCACUGGGGAAAAGCACUGGAGUACAAGGAUUUAAACGAACAGGAAUAUUUCAUUUCAGCUCUGAUGGUGCAAUGCAAACUAAGUUAAAGUGGCUUUCCUCCUAAACCACAGAAAUAAGGCAGAACUUGCUGUCAUCAUUUUAGGAAGCCUGGACUGGACUCUGCAGUUUCAGGAAAUUUUUCAGUGUGUGGAGAGCCAGAGUGGGAGAGAAACUGACUUAUUUGUAUGGACCUAGUUAUGGCAUUGUUAGUAGCACAGAAGGAGAAUCUGCCUUCUCUCUCAGGCAGGUUUGUUUUGGUUGGGUGUUACACAACAGGAAUGUAGCUCUGACUGUCUCAGUGAGCAGCACUGAAACCACCUUCUCUGUGCACAUCCAAGAUGUUUAUAAAUGCAAAGAGAAGUAGAUUGAUAAUAGGCCACCAGAUGAAUAGCUUUGCCAAGAUAUCUCCUCAUUUUCACGUUGCCUGAGAAUAAU
Molecule: long non-coding RNA, 1267 nt
Filed under: Phasianus colchicus (ring-necked pheasant)
Lineage: Eukaryota; Metazoa; Chordata; Aves; Galliformes; Phasianidae
Description: lncRNA (ENSPCLG00000009134.1)
Source: RNAcentral